This 1689-nucleotide unclassified non-coding RNA is filed under the name Leishmania donovani. RNAcentral's name for it is "gene:unknown". Lineage: Eukaryota; Euglenozoa; Kinetoplastea; Trypanosomatida; Trypanosomatidae. The record is from RNAcentral.
UCCUUUUUCUACUGUCGACAACGCCGUAUCCAUGAUUCGGCAACCUGUACUGCUACAACAUUCGCAUGCAGACACCUUCCCCUAUCGCCCUAUGUCCUUGCUUUUGCACACACUCGCAUCCGCCAUCAAAGGCUCUCCACUCCCAUCUUUUACUUGAAAGUUGUCCUUUAUCUUUCUCUCACACCACCUAAUAUCACGGACACCGCUUCCUGCAGCAUUGCUGCCCCACGCCGCGCUUCCAUACAAGGCGCCUUACAGCGUCCAGCACGAGCAUGGAAAGGUCUAGCACUGAUGCACGUGUGGGCUCGGUCAGAAACAGCUCUCCUGUGACCGCUCUCACGGCGUGUACAACGAGGAACACGCUGCGACGACGCUGCCAAUGGCGUUCACAGCAAAGGAGACGGGCACAGCGUAGCGCUGCGGCUGCAGGGUUACCAAGAACCUGCCGUUGUGCGACGGGUCCCAUCACUCUGUCUGAACAAGGGAAGCUCUCCGAAGACAGGAGUCAGUGGGCCUACGACACUGGGGAUUCGAAGGGGCGACUGAGACGCGGCCGACACACAUGGACUACUGACGGGCUUACGGAGCCACGCUGGAAGGCAGUGAUGUGUAAAAGGUUUAGUAGCGUGUGCUGUCUCACACUCUUUUUCCAGUAUGUUCUUCCUAAUUCUAGACGGACGGAGAUAGCCGUCACUUCCCCAAGGUCUUUUCUUCCACUUGUUCCACGAGGGCCUCCUCCCGCACCUCCCUUCCCUUCGUCUCUUUCCCUCCGUCGUUGCCCCGACUUCACACUUCCCGGCACCUCCUCCUUAGACAUUUAUUUUUUCAUUUUUUCGUCUCUCUUGUUUCCCAUCACUUACUCGUGUUCAUGUUACUCCCACUCCUUCCUCUGCUAUUCACUACUUCUUUCGCUUUCUCCGUGCCGGUACUGAUCCCUGAAGUCCUGCUUUUGUAGCUUUCCCUUUUUUUCAUAUAAAGGACUGAGGCAAACACCCACGCACCCAAGAAGGGCUGGAGAGCCAAAAACAACAACAAAAAGGCAACAACUUAGCGCCUUAGCCGUCCUGUGAUUCUCUCCUCCCUUCCGCUUAAUCUCUCUCCAACAUCCCUCUUUCUGUGCAUGAGUGUGCAUGCGUUUUCGGUAACACAGGUCACUAUAGAACGUAACUGUUGCUUGUGCUCCAAGCGUUGUAAGCUGUUUUGCUCACCUGCGCUGUGCUGUGCUGCGCGCAGUGUGUGUGUGUAUAUGUGUGUAUGCGGGGUAGUCAUGGCGACCACGCACGUCGAAAAAGAACCCUAUUUGCACCCCAAACACCAGUGUGUGCACACACUAUCUCUUUAUCCUAGUACGUAAAAGUUGAAAAGUUAGGAAUGCAGCGGGCUGGCCCAAAAGAAGACACCCUGGGCGAUUACUCUUUCUCAGGUAGAGCCAGAGCACUUCUUCGGCAAAGGCCGAGUGACUCGUUUUCUGUUAUCGUCCCUCACGGCGGCUCCGUUCAUCUCCCUCUGCUUUCUGUCUUGCUUAUGUUCUCUUAGCCGUUGGGAGACGCUUUUUCGUUUCCCUUGCCUUCCCUGUGUGUGUGUGUGUCUCUAUCCCGUUUCUCGUUUUCCGAGUGCCGUCUCUCGACCGCUCGCUAUGUCUUUUCACUGGCUCUGUAUUGCAGAACGGAUUUCGACCGUGCCGAACGG